Molecule: long non-coding RNA, 645 nt
Filed under: Gallus gallus (chicken)
Lineage: Eukaryota; Metazoa; Chordata; Aves; Galliformes; Phasianidae
Source: RNAcentral
CUCCAUCACAACGAAGAACUGCUGAAGAGGUGCAUAGUCAGAGUCCAGUGUCCUGCCCAGAUUAAGCGCUGAUUCGAUCAACCCUUUGAUACUCAGUUUUGCCAUGUUCAUCAGGUUCAUGCGUUCAUUAGCCAUGAGAUAAUUAGGAUGGGCUGAGGCGCCGUCGGGCCCCGGGUAGCUCAGCAGCAGCACGGGCAGCGCGGCCCCGCCGCGGGGCGCCGGGGGUCUCCACGCGCCGUGCGGCGCGGCCGCGCCUCCAUGGCCGGGGUAGAGGAGGAAGAAGGGCGGCGAGGCGGGGCGCGCCUCGUCCUCCUCCUCUGUCACCGCCGCCUCCUCCGGGCCGGGCUCGGCCCGCCGCUCCAUGCCGGGAGGCGUCUCGGCUGCCAUCCCGUCCCGGGAACUUUCCGCCGGCGGCGGCAGGAGAGGCGCCCGCUCCGCCUCCGCCAUCGCCGCCCCGGACCGCCGGCCCCGCCCCGGGCGGGAAGGCGCGCCAGAGCCGGCCCAGCCGCGGGCUUCCCCAGCCGCCCUCGGCCGCGAGCCCCGCGGUGCGAGGGGAGGAGGCGCGCGGCCCCGCCCGCCUUCCGCGUGCGAGGGGCGGAGAGGCGGCGGCCCCCGAGGUGCGGUGCGGCGCUGCGCCCGCCGGAC